Molecule: ribosomal RNA, 301 nt
Filed under: uncultured bacterium
Lineage: Bacteria
Description: partial 16S ribosomal RNA
Rfam family: Bacterial small subunit ribosomal RNA
Source: RNAcentral
CAGUCGCCGCGGUAAGACAGAGGAUGCAAGCGUUAUCCGGAAUGAUUGGGCGUAAAGCGUCUGUAGGUGGCUUUUCAAGUCCGCCGUCAAAUCCCAGGGCUCAACCCUGGACAGGCGGUGGAAACUACCAAGCUGGAGUACGGUAGGGUCAGAGGGAAUUUCCGGUGGAGCGGUGAAAUGCGUUGAGAUCGGAAAGAACACCAACGGCGAGAGCACUCUGCUGGGCCGACACUGACACUGAGAGACGAAAGCUAGGGGAGCAAAUGGGAUUAGAUACCCCCGUAGUCCCUGUCUCUUAUAC